Molecule: long non-coding RNA, 291 nt
Filed under: Ixodes scapularis (black-legged tick)
Lineage: Eukaryota; Metazoa; Arthropoda; Arachnida; Ixodida; Ixodidae
Description: uncharacterized LOC115316696
Source: RNAcentral
CCCGAAGCUCACAGCCGCCGAACGAAGCGACGCGUCUGCGUUACGGGACACCGCCGCCGCAACCAACUUAGCAUAUUCCACGAAUGGCAGCGCAACUGCGGACGCAUGCCGUGCCUCCACUUCUACUGAUGCUGCUGCUGCAGCGUACGUGGCAACCUCUUCGGUCGUCGAGGUACCGGAAAGUGCUGGCAACAUAUGGACCACUUGUGUUGUGGAUACGGCAGAGCUCCUCUCGGCGGCAGAUGCAGGCGACACAUAUGAAAUUGUUGGUCUUGACGUGAGCAGAGAGUU